GGGGAUUUGGCUCAGUGGUAGAGCGCUUGCCUAGCAAGCACAAUGUCCUGGGUUCAGUCCCCAGCUCCG
RNAcentral lists this transfer RNA (69 nucleotides) under Rattus norvegicus (Norway rat). It matches the Rfam family "tRNA". Rfam says of the family: Transfer RNA (tRNA) molecules are approximately 80 nucleotides in length. Their secondary structure includes four short double-helical elements and three loops (D, anti-codon, and T loops). Lineage: Eukaryota; Metazoa; Chordata; Mammalia; Rodentia; Muridae. The record is from Rfam by way of RNAcentral.